CCUAUUUAAAUUGGGGUGUGCCGUUUUUGUACAUUCGCUAUCACCUGGCAUAGCACCUGGUAUAUGAAUAAAAUAAAGAUAUUUGAACAAAAAACUGUUACGUGAUCAACUGUAGUAUUUCGGCUUGGUUGUGAAUUAUCUACCUAGGUAUAUAAGUUAACUUUUGCAAAAACACCCUUGAUUUUGUUGUUAUUUGUGCGCUUGAGUUUGAUACACAUUUUAUUAUUAACGCAUUGGUACUAACCUUCUAUUUAAUACCUAAAUAACGAUAAAAUAUCUAGGUUUGUGUCUAAUUUUUAGGGUGAUUUGGUAAUGGGUCCUUUUUAUUGCUUAACGUCUAUUAUGUACCUACCUACAAACAAUGUAUUUAAACCAUUAUGUUCCAAUUAACAGAUUCCACUAAUACUGCAUCCCAAUCCAGUACAACCCAGUGGAAGAAUGACCAGAAAUGCAAAAAUAUUUCAAGAAACUAUGGGAUAUCUUCUCGUCGUAGUCAACAUGAGACACAUUCUCUUGAAGGUUCUACCGAAAAGCAAAGAGGGGGUGAUCGGAAAGGAGCAAAAUGUUCAAGAAAACACUUAAUGACUAACUGUAAUAACUGAAAAUGAAGGUUUUUCUAAUAAAGGCAAGUGCCAUACCGUAUUAAUAUAUUUUGUGAUUAUGCAUGUAUUAAUUAAUAAACGUUUUAAAAUUAAAA
Long non-coding RNA from Pectinophora gossypiella (pink bollworm), 697 nucleotides. RefSeq lists it as uncharacterized. The transcript has 2 exons. The record is from RefSeq and is a predicted model, not a curated record. NCBI's taxonomy places the organism in Eukaryota, Metazoa, Arthropoda, Insecta, Lepidoptera, Gelechiidae.